GGCUGAAAUUCGCCUUCACGAAGUCGGAAUUGCUGUAAUGGCAGGUCAGCAUACUGCCGUGAAUACGUUCCCGGGCCCUUGUACACACCGCCCGUCACACCAUGAGAGUUAGGAAUACCCGAAGCCUGUGAGCUAACUUUAAUAGAGGCAGCAGUCGAAGGUAGAACUAAUGAUUGGGGUGAAGUCGUAACAAGGUAAC
This 199-nucleotide ribosomal RNA is filed under the name uncultured bacterium. RNAcentral describes it as "partial 16S ribosomal RNA". It matches the Rfam family "Bacterial small subunit ribosomal RNA", at positions 1303 to 1500 of the family's 1533-position model. The record is from RNAcentral.